Molecule: ribosomal RNA, 445 nt
Filed under: uncultured bacterium
Lineage: Bacteria
Description: bacterial SSU rRNA
Rfam family: Bacterial small subunit ribosomal RNA
Source: RNAcentral
ACCAGACUCCUACGGGAGGCAGCAGUGGGGGAUAUUGCACAAUGGGGGGAACCCUGAUGCAGCGACGCCGCGUGGGUGAAGAAGCGCCUCGGCGCGUAAAGCCCUGUCAGCAGGGAAGAAAAUGACGGUACCUGAAGAAGAAGCCCCGGCUAACUACGUGCCAGCAGCCGCGGUAAUACGUAGGGGGCAAGCGUUAUCCGGAUUUACUGGGUGUAAAGGGGGCGCAGACGGCGAUGCAAGCCAGGAGUGAAAGCCCGGGGCCCAACCCCGGGACUGCUCUUGGAACUGCGUGGCUGGAGUGCAGGAGGGGCAGGCGGAAUUCCUGAUGUAGCGGUGAAAUGCGUAGAUAUCAGGAGGAACACCGGUGGCGAAGGCGGCCUGCUGGACUGCAACUGACGUUGAGGCCCGAAAGCGUGGGGAGCAAACAGGAUUAGAUACCCCCGUA